GUCCAGGGAUGGGAAUCGAACCCACAAUGUUCCGCUUACCAGACAGGUGCCAUGUCCACUAGGCUACCCUGGA
Molecule: transfer RNA, 73 nt
Filed under: Cordylochernes scorpioides
Lineage: Eukaryota; Metazoa; Arthropoda; Arachnida; Pseudoscorpiones; Chernetidae
Description: tRNA-Thr
Source: RNAcentral